GGAGGGGAUCAUUACCGAGUUUACAACUCCCAAACCCAAUGUGAACCAUACCAAACUGUUGCCUCGGCGGGGUCACGCCCCGGGUGCGUCGCAGCCCCGGAACCAGGCGCCCGCCGGAGGGACCAACCAAACUCUUUUCUGUAGUCCCCUCGCGGACGUUAUUUCUUACAGCUCUGAGCAAAAAUUCAAAAUGAAUCAAAACUUUCAACAACGGAUCUCUUGGUUCUGGCAUCGAUGAAGAACGCAGCGAAAUGCGAUAAGUAAUGUGAAUUGCAGAAUUCAGUGAAUCAUCGAAUCUUUGAACGCACAUUGCGCCCGCCAGUAUUCUGGCGGGCAUGCCUGUCCGAGCGUCAUUUCAACCCUCGAACCCCUCCGGGGGGUCGGCGUUGGGGACCUCGGGAGCCCCUAAGACGGGAUCCCGGCCCCGAAAUACAGUGGCGGUCUCGCCGCAGCCUCUCCUGCGCAGUAGUUUGCACAACUCGCACCGGGAGCGCGGCGCGUCCACGUCCGUAAAACACCCAACUUCUGAAAUGUUGACCUCGGAUCAGGUAGGAAUACCCGCUGAACUUAAGCAUAUCAAAAACCCGGAGGAA
Molecule: ribosomal RNA, 593 nt
Filed under: Trichoderma atroviride
Lineage: Eukaryota; Fungi; Ascomycota; Sordariomycetes; Hypocreales; Hypocreaceae
Description: eukaryotic LSU rRNA
Rfam family: 5.8S ribosomal RNA (bases 200-353)
Source: RNAcentral